CUACGUGCCAGCAGCCGCGGUAAUACGUAGGGUGCGAGCGUUAAUCGGAAUUACUGGGCGUAAAGCGGGCGCAGACGGUUACUUAAGCAGGAUGUGAAAUCCCCGGGCUCAACCUGGGAGCUGCGUUCUGAACUGGGUGACUAGAGUGUGUCAGAGGGAGGUAGAAUUCCACGUGUAGCAGUGAAAUGCGUAGAGAUGUGGAGGAAUACCGAUGGCGAAGGCAGCCUCCUGGGAUAACACUGACGUUCAUGCCCGAAAGCGUGGGUAGCAAACAGGAUUAGAUACCCUGGUAGUCCACGCCCUAAACGAUGUCGAUUAGCUGUUGGGCAGCAUGACUGCUUAGUAGCGAAGCUAACGCGUGAAAUCGACCGCCUGGGGAGUACGGUCGCAAGAUUAAAACUCAAAGGAAUUGACGGGGACCCGCACAAGCGGUGGAUGAUGUGGAUUAAUUCGAUGCAACGCGAAGAACCUUACCUGGUCUUGACAU
Molecule: ribosomal RNA, 487 nt
Filed under: uncultured bacterium
Lineage: Bacteria
Description: bacterial SSU rRNA
Rfam family: Bacterial small subunit ribosomal RNA
Source: RNAcentral